Molecule: long non-coding RNA, 1512 nt
Filed under: Ursus americanus (American black bear)
Lineage: Eukaryota; Metazoa; Chordata; Mammalia; Carnivora; Ursidae
Description: lncRNA (ENSUAMG00000027766.1)
Source: RNAcentral
AUGCAAGAAAUUAAAUGUCCCUUCCAAGGGCAUGUGGCUAUGCUGUCAGUGGAGGUAGACUGUGAGGAAAGUUCCACCUGGGUUGGGUGGAUGGUUUUGGUGGAGGGAGAGGCUUGUGACCUGAGGGCUAUGGCCUUGGAGGCUGGCCACACAGAGCCAGCCUGGGUCAGCAGGGUGCCUGGCGGGUGGUGGGUGGCCUGGGAGUCUGGCUGUCAUCAACCCUGUGCUCCUUGCAGUCCUCUCUUGCCUGUGCUCCUGCUCCCAGCCUCCAGGAUGGCAGCAGUUCUGGCCUGUCUGAAAGCGAGGAGAGUGUGUUCUCAGGCCUGGAAGAUUCCGGCAGCGACAGUAGUGAGGAUGACCCCCCCAAGGAAGAGGAUGGGGUCAGCAGUGACGAGGGCCGUGGCGAGACGGAGAAGACCACUGAGCAGCAGGUGCAGAAUGGGACCCCCUCCCCAAGGACGGCGAUGGCGAGAGUGCAGGGCUGUGAAGAGUACGCGGAGGACAGUUCUGACGAGGAGGUGGGGCUGGGCUUGCCUCUUCCACGAGGGGUGGGGGGGCGCCUUCCCCAGCUGGGCUGUGCUGCCCAGGGUAGAGAGGAGUCAGGCUGCUGUGAGGGGCCGCGCUCGUGGUCCAGAGGGUGAUUUUGGGGUUGGGGAUAGAUGUCUGCUGGAGUGUGUGUCAUCGUUCGGGAAGGAGGCGGGGUGGAUGUGACACGGCGAGCCCCCGGGUGUGUCCACGGGGCAGUGGCUGAUGCUGGGGUCCCUCGUGUUCUGUGGAGGCUGUGCUCAUGCUCUCGGUGGGCACAGGGAGGCUGGGGCAGGGCCGGCUUCCCUGAUGCCAGCUGGCCUGUGCUGGGCCCCCGGGGUGAUAGACCUGAGUGCCAAGGGCAGCAUCACCGGGCAGCUUCAUGCAGGAGGUGGGUGGCUUCUGGGUGUUCUGUCCCUUCCCUCCCUGGGGUCCUCGAGGUGUGGGCUGGUGUGGGCCUCAGUGAAUGCUGGGUGCCCCCUCAAGUUUAGGGUCUAAAGGGACAAGCAUGGUGGUGGGCUAGGGGUGCCCUGUCUGGCAUCCAGACGCCCCGUGUGUGGGCCAGCGGCUCUGUCUCUGCCGCUUUCGGAGGGCUGGAAGCUGAGGAGCUCUGAGCCCCCAGGUGGCUGUCUCCUCCUGCCUGUCCCCUCCCAGGUGUGUCCCAGUCACGGGCAGGGCUCUGGCCCUGCGCUGCCGUGUGCACCCAGGCGUGUGCCUCCUUGGGCAGCGGGCCGCGGGGGUGGAGGAGGACAGCGGCGUUGGUGCGGGCCUUGCAGGGACAGCGGUUCUCCAGAGCUCUUCCUGCUGCCUGUCAGGGGCUGUCCCGGGGCCUGGGGAGGCACGCGCCCCCACCCUGCUCGGCCUCCACCCCCGUGCUCGCGCUCUCUUGGCAGCGGCUGCAGGAGCCUUGGCUGCCCGCCCGAUCUGGUCUCUGUGCGUUCAGAGAACAGAGACAAAACAAAAUAAAUUGGUUUCCUGGCCGGAGCA